RNAcentral lists this long non-coding RNA (206 nucleotides) under Brassica napus (rape). RNAcentral's name for it is "long non-coding RNA (BNAP_LNC016254)". The record is from RNAcentral. Lineage: Eukaryota; Viridiplantae; Streptophyta; Magnoliopsida; Brassicales; Brassicaceae.
GAAUGUUCGAGUAAGGAUCGAUGAUCAAUUUUGGGCCUAGUCUAUGUGGAUCGGAUUGGAUUGCAUGGAUUGAGAUCUAAAUAUUAUGCCAUUCUAUUGUCAUCUAAUGCAUGCAAACUAUAUACAAAAAGUGGAAGUCCAUUUAAUCUGAUGAUCAAUGAAGAGUUUAUUUAGUGUUGUUUUACAUUAUAGUCUUUAGAAUAAAU